This 697-nucleotide ribosomal RNA is filed under the name uncultured beta proteobacterium. RNAcentral's name for it is "bacterial SSU rRNA". It matches the Rfam family "Bacterial small subunit ribosomal RNA", at positions 45 to 738 of the family's 1533-position model. The record is from RNAcentral. Lineage: Bacteria; Pseudomonadati; Pseudomonadota; Betaproteobacteria.
UGCCUUACACAUGCAAGUCGAACGGCAGCACGGACUUCGGUCUGGUGGCGAGUGGCGAACGGGUGAGUAAUGUAUCGGAACGUGCCCAGUAGCGGGGGAUAACUACGCGAAAGCGUAGCUAAUACCGCAUACGCCCUACGGGGGAAAGCAGGGGAUCGCAAGACCUUGCACUAUUGGAGCGGCCGAUAUCGGAUUAGCUAGUUGGUGGGGUAACGGCUCACCAAGGCGACGAUCCGUAGCUGGUUUGAGAGGACGACCAGCCACACUGGGACUGAGACACGGCCCAGACUCCUACGGGAGGCAGCAGUGGGGAAUUUUGGACAAUGGGGGAAACCCUGAUCCAGCCAUCCCGCGUGUGCGAUGAAGGCCUUCGGGUUGUAAAGCACUUUUGGCAGGAAAGAAACGUCGCGGGUUAAUACCCCGCGGAACUGACGGUACCUGCAGAAUAAGCACCGGCUAACUACGUGCCAGCAGCCGCGGUAAUACGUAGGGUGCAAGCGUUAAUCGGAAUUACUGGGCGUAAAGCGUGCGCAGGCGGUUCGGAAAGAAAGAUGUGAAUCCCAGAGCUUAACUUUGGAACUGCAUUUUUAACUACCGGGCUAGAGUGUGUCAGAGGGAGGUGGAAUUCCGCGUGUAGCAGUGAAAUGCGUAGAUAUGCGGAGGAACGCCGAUGGCGAAGGCAGCCUCCUGGGAUAAC